RNAcentral lists this ribosomal RNA (492 nucleotides) under uncultured bacterium. RNAcentral describes it as "partial 16S ribosomal RNA". It matches the Rfam family "Bacterial small subunit ribosomal RNA", at positions 29 to 507 of the family's 1533-position model. The record is from RNAcentral.
AGUGAACGCUGGCGGUAGGCCUAACACAUGCAAGUCGAACGGCAGCACAGUAAGAGCUUGCUCUUACGGGUGGCGAGUGGCGGACGGGUGAGGAAUACAUCGGAAUCUACUUUUUCGUGGGGGAUAACGUAGGGAAACUUACGCUAAUACCGCAUACGACCUACGGGUGAAAGCAGGGGAUCUUCGGACCUUGCGCGAUUGAAUGAGCCGAUGUCGGAUUAGCUAGUUGGCGGGGUAAAGGCCCACCAAGGCGACGAUCCGUAGCUGGUCGGAGAGGAUGAUCGGCCACACUGGAACUGAGACACGGUCCAGACUCCUACGGGAGGCAGCAGUGGGGAAUAUUGGGCAAUGGGCGCAAGCCUGAUCCAGCCAUACCGCGUGGGUGAAGAAGGCCUUCGGGUUGUAAAGCCCUUUUGUUGGGAAAGAAAAGCAGCAGGUUAAUACCCCGCUGUUCUGACGGUACCCAAAGAAUAAGCACCGGCUAACUUCGUG